RNAcentral lists this long non-coding RNA (392 nucleotides) under Mytilus galloprovincialis (Mediterranean mussel). Lineage: Eukaryota; Metazoa; Mollusca; Bivalvia; Mytilida; Mytilidae. The record is from RNAcentral.
UACAUCAUAACACAAGACAUGAGAUAUAUCAGUUCUUCCUUAUACAAUACAUCAUAACACAAGACAUGAGAUAUAUCAGUUCUUCCUUACACAAUACAUCAUAACACAAGACAUGAGAUAUACCAGUUCUUCCUUACACAAUACAUCAUAACACAAGCCAUGAGAUAUAUCAGUUCUUCCUUACACAAUACAUCAUAACACAAAACACGAGAUAUAUCAGUUCUUCCUAACACAAUACAUUAUAACACAUGACAUGAUAUAUAUCAGUUCUUCCUAACACAAUACAUCAUAACACAAGACAUGAGAUAUAUCAGUUCUUCCUUACACAAUACAUCAUAACACAAGACAUGAGAUAUAUCAGUUCUUCCUUACACAAUACAUCAUAACACAAG